UGGGGAAUAUUGGACAAUGGGCGAAAGCCUGAUCCAGCCAUGCCGCGUGUGUGAAGAAGGUCUUCGGAUUGUAAAGCACUUUAAGUUGGGAGGAAGGGCAUUAACCUAAUACGUUAGUGUUUUGACGUUACCGACAGAAUAAGCACCGGCUAACUCUGUGCCAGCAGCCGCGGUAAUACAGAGGGUGCAAGCGUUAAUCGGAAUUAGUGGGCGUAAAGCGCGCGUAGGUGGUUUGUUAAGUUGGAUGUGAAAUCCCCGGGCUCAACCUGGGAACUGCAUUCAAAACUGACUGACUAGAGUAUGGUAGAGGGUGGUGGAAUUUCCUGUGUAGCGGUGAAAUGCGUAGAUAUAGGAAGGAACACCAGUGGCGAAGGCGACCACCUGGACUAAUACUGACACUGAGGUGCGAAAGCGUGGGGAGCAAACA
RNAcentral lists this ribosomal RNA (427 nucleotides) under uncultured bacterium. RNAcentral's name for it is "partial 16S ribosomal RNA". It matches the Rfam family "Bacterial small subunit ribosomal RNA", at positions 355 to 774 of the family's 1533-position model. The record is from RNAcentral.